GGAUAGGAGAUUCCUUCCUUUCCUCUCCAGGUUGCCGUAAACAGCCCACCCACCGCCCAGAGUGGAAAGGGCACAAAGAGACCCAGCCUCCUAGUCUCUCGUACCGGCAUCCAGCCGCCUGCUUAGGGACAGGAAGUCGGCCAUGCCGAGAAGGUCGUUCUGAAUGGAAGUGGAAGGACGGCCACAGAAACGGACAGGAAGUUGGCCAUCCCGGGGAGGUCGGUGUGUAAGACAGUGGAGGACUACUGCGCAUGUGUGACUGGAAGUUGGCAGGCCCUAGGAGUAGGUAACCCAAAACACUCGAAGAGCCACUUGGACCCAUUUACAACCGAAAACAUCUUUUAUGACUCAGGGACUUCUACUCCCAGAAUUCCUGAGUCAGCAUAGCUGGGCUAGCUAGCUCUCUCCUGCCCUUCCUGCUUCCUGCAGAGACGCAGCAAAAGGAGGAGUGCCAUCCAGUAAGCUUUUUAGCUCGUCGGAGAACACUGUGAGUCCACUCUCUUUUUUACACACACACACA
Crotalus tigris (Tiger rattlesnake) is the source of this 520-nucleotide long non-coding RNA. RefSeq lists it as uncharacterized. The record is from RefSeq and is a predicted model, not a curated record. Lineage: Eukaryota; Metazoa; Chordata; Lepidosauria; Squamata; Viperidae. The transcript is spliced from 3 exons.